UGUAAAGUGUCUAGGGCACACCAUUCUUUA
Molecule: non-coding RNA, 30 nt
Filed under: Rattus norvegicus (Norway rat)
Lineage: Eukaryota; Metazoa; Chordata; Mammalia; Rodentia; Muridae
Source: RNAcentral